This 468-nucleotide ribosomal RNA is filed under the name uncultured bacterium. RNAcentral describes it as "bacterial SSU rRNA". It matches the Rfam family "Bacterial small subunit ribosomal RNA", at positions 329 to 794 of the family's 1533-position model. The record is from RNAcentral.
GUCCAGACUCCUACGGGAGGCAGCAGUGAGGAAUAUUGGUCAAUGGCCGAAGGGCUGAACCAGCCAAGCCGCGUGAAGGAAUAAGGCCCUACGGGUCGUAAACUUCUUUAGUCAGGGAACAAAGGGAGCCACGCGUGGCGCUGUGAGUGUGCCUGAAGAAUAAGCAUCGGCUAACUCCGUGCCAGCAGCCGCGGUAAUACGGAGGAUGCGAGCGUUAUCCGGAUUUAUUGGGUUUAAAGGGAGCGUAGGCCGGCUUUUAAGUCAGCUGUGAAAGUCCGCGGCUCAACCGUGGAAUUGCAGUUGAAACUGGAGGCCUUGAGUGCACACAGGGAUGCCGGAAUUCAUGGUGUAGCGGUGAAAUGCUUAGAUAUCAUGAAGAACUCCGAUCGCGAAGGCAAGUGUCCGGGGUGCAACUGACGCUGAGGCUCGAAAGUGCGGGUAUCAAACAGGAUUAGAUACCCCGGUACA